GUGAAGAAAAGUUGAAAAGUACUUUGAAGAGUUAACGAGUACGUGAAACCGUUCAGAGGUAAACCUAAGAAACCCAAAAAAUCGAACGGGGAGAUUCAUCGUCAACGAAACUGGCUUCGCGUCGGUGGGCGAUAACCCCGCGGUGUGUCCUAAGCGGCACGCGCGUGCGGGCACGUUACCGAACGCCGAUGUCCGGUUUUCGUCGUCGUGCACUUCUCUCCUAGUAGAACGUCGCGACUCGCUGUGUGUCGGUCACCGACCCGGGUGCGGUUACUG
RNAcentral lists this ribosomal RNA (276 nucleotides) under Pseudomyrmex aff. flavicornis-b MAS-2013. RNAcentral's name for it is "partial 28S ribosomal RNA". The record is from RNAcentral. Lineage: Eukaryota; Metazoa; Arthropoda; Insecta; Hymenoptera; Formicidae.